RNAcentral lists this ribosomal RNA (246 nucleotides) under uncultured bacterium. RNAcentral describes it as "partial small subunit ribosomal RNA". It matches the Rfam family "Bacterial small subunit ribosomal RNA", at positions 26 to 286 of the family's 1533-position model. The record is from RNAcentral.
AGGACGAACGCUGGCGGCGUGCUUAACACAUGCAAGUCGAACGAGGCGCUUGCGCCUAGUGGCGAACGGGUGAGUAACACGUGAGCAACCUGCCCUUGGCUCUGGGAUAGCCUCCGGAAACGGGGAUUAAUACCGGACAUGACCUUCUCCUGCAUGGGGGAGGGUGGAAAGUUUUUCGGCCAGGGAGGGGCUCGCGGCCUAUCAGCUUGUUGGGGGGUAACGGCCCACCAAGGCGACGACGGGUAG